GCACGAAGCCGGAAUCGCUAGUAAUCGCAGAUCAGAAUGCUGCGGUGAAUACGUUCCCGGGUCUUGUACACACCGCCCGUCACACCAUGGGAGUCGGAAAUGCCCGAAGUCAGUGGCCCAACCGGAAGGAGGGAGCUGCCGAAGGCAGGUCCGGUGACUGGGGUGAAGUCGUAACAAGGUAUC
Molecule: ribosomal RNA, 183 nt
Filed under: uncultured bacterium
Lineage: Bacteria
Description: partial 16S ribosomal RNA
Rfam family: Bacterial small subunit ribosomal RNA
Source: RNAcentral